This 1458-nucleotide long non-coding RNA is filed under the name Equus asinus (donkey). RNAcentral describes it as "lncRNA (ENSEASG00005029362.1)". The record is from RNAcentral. Lineage: Eukaryota; Metazoa; Chordata; Mammalia; Perissodactyla; Equidae.
CUUGUGCCUCUGCCAGCCUAAUCCCUGGAAAUAAGACUUCUUUACUUCCGAGCGUUUUCCUGGGUCCUGCCUCACAUCUGACCAGGGCAGGUGGCCUCCUCAUCACACUGCUGCCUCUGCUGUUGGCCCUGCUCAUGAAGCCACUAAACAUAUGGUCUCAGCUCUCUUGUCCUCCAAGAAAGACAACCACCACUGCUGCCUUUCUGAUCUCACGAUGUUUUGGGGAAAGAAGCCUCCUUGCCUCUCCAAAAAACCACAUAAAGCCAUCGGGGCCAUUUUCCUAGGUGACUGUAGGAGAAAUAUCAAGAUAAAGUGAUGUGCAACCAGCAGGGGAGAAUCCAGGUGAAAGUGGUGAAGAACAUGGGAACCUCUCUCCCAGGUGAAAAGAAUUUCCUGGCCUGGGGAAAGAAGGAAGAGAAAGAGAUCUGUAGGUCCUGGGAGCAGAGAGGACCUCUAUGCUCCUUUCGGCAAUGCCCUGAAUAUGAUCAGUAAUAGUAACAACAAUGACAAUAGCAACAGCAAUGAUAAUGAGAGCAGCUGACUGCUACUGAACACUGACUAUGUACCAGGAAUUGUGCUAAGUACUUUAUGUUACAUUACCUCAAUUUUGUCCUCACAACAACUCUGGGAGGUAGGUAAUAUACAUAUCUCCACUUUACAGAUGAAAAUCUGAAGCUUAGGAAAUGGAAGAACAUCUGCCGGAGGUCACACAGAUAUGGCACGUUCAUGAUGUGAAUCCAAGUGAUGCCGAAGUCAGCCUUCUUAAUCAUUCACAAUUCUGCCCCUCUUCAGUGAGGCCUCCAAGACCAGCUGCCUGGGGAACUCAGGCAGAGAAAGCUAUCUGCAGCCAGGUAAGAGCUUCUCGUUUCUCCUGCAGGUCACAGAGGUGGUUGAAGGCCCCUGGGCCUGAGGAGUCCUGCAGACAGGACAAACAAUAAACAAAGAUCAGAGGGCAAGCUCUCCACUCUUCUUUCCUCCCCAAUUCCAAUGACCCAGGUGAGAGGAUGGCGGAGAAGGAACUAAGAGUUACCAAGGGCAAAUUUUCUACUGGCCUGGAAGAUGUGGACUUGGUAUAAAAUGUAAUUAAGCAUAAUUACAGAAAAUAACAAAUAUAUUUCUUGUGCAUACAAAUUUGUAAAGGGAGAUUUAUACCCAUUACACAGAUUGUCUCUAUUUUCACUGUUAUCACUGCAUUAUAAUUAGAUUAUUUCGUGUAGAUUAUGAACAACUAUAAGUUAGGAAAUUUCUGUUGUUUGACUUUGUCAUCUAUACGUAGCAGAGUGCCAGGCUUAUGCUGAUUGAAUGGAUUAUUGAAAUAAUAAGAUUUGUCUAUUACUCUAUUUUUCCCCCAGCAAAUUCUGUUCACUUAAAAUGUUGAAGUCUUUAUUGUGAAUAUAAAGUCAGUUAACACAAAUAACUUAUAUCUCAAAUGUCCUUGCUCUUAGAGGUAUAUUUCCC